This 272-nucleotide ribosomal RNA is filed under the name uncultured prokaryote. Its description in RNAcentral is "partial 16S ribosomal RNA". It matches the Rfam family "Bacterial small subunit ribosomal RNA", at positions 524 to 794 of the family's 1533-position model. The record is from RNAcentral.
UACGUAGGGUGCGAGCGUUGUCCGGAAUUAUUGGGCGUAAAGAGCUCGUAGGUGGUUUGUCGCGUCGUCUGUGAAAUUCCGGGGCUUAACCUCGGGCGUGCAGGCGAUACGGGCAAUACUUGAGUGCUGUAGGGGAGACUGGAAUUCCUAGUGUAGCGGUGAAAUGCGUAGAUAUUAGGAGGAACACCAGUAGCGAAGGCGGCUCUCUGGACUGUAACUGACGCUGAGGCACGAAAGCGUGGGGAGCAAACAGGAUUAGAUACCCGGGUAGU